AACGAACGCUGGCGGCGUGCUUAACACAUGCAAGUCUAGGGGAAUUCGCUUUCGGGCGAUAGUACACUGGCGAACGGGUGAGUAACGCGUGAGAAACCUACCCCGGAGAUUGGGACAACACAGAGAAAUUUGUGCUAAUACCGGAUAAGCCCACGGGUUUAGUUAUUUGUGGGAAAAGACGGGGUAACCUGUCGCUUUGGGAUGGUCUCGCGUGUCAUUAGCUAGUUGGUAGGGUAACGGCCUACCAAGGCAACGAUGACUAGGCGGCCUGAGAGGGUGGCCGCCCACACUGGGACUGAGACACGGUCCAGACUCCUACGGGAGGCAGCAGUGGGGAAUUUUGCGCAAUGACCGAAAGGUUGACGCAGCAACGCCGCGUGUAUGAUGAAGGCUUUCGGGUCGUAAAGUACUUUCAGUGGGGAAGAACUGCAUAAUCAGUAACUGGGUUAUGAUUGACGGUACCCACAGAAGCAGCCCCGGCUAACUCCGUGCCAGCAGCCGCGGUAAUACGGAGGGGGCAAGCGUUGUUCGGAGUCACUGGGCGUAAAGAGCUCGUAGGCGGCAGUGUAAGUCGGGAGUUAAAGGCAACAGCUCAACUGUUGUAAGGCUUCUGAAACUACAUUGCUAGAGUGCCAGAGAGGUAUGCGGAAUUCCCUGUGUAGCGGUGAAAUGCGUAGAUAUAGGGAGGAACACCGGUUGCGAAGGCGGCAUACUGGCUGGUAACUGACGCUGAGGAGCGAAAGCGUGGGUAGCAAACA
Molecule: ribosomal RNA, 758 nt
Filed under: uncultured Deferribacteres bacterium
Lineage: Bacteria; Pseudomonadati; Deferribacterota; Deferribacteres
Description: bacterial SSU rRNA
Rfam family: Bacterial small subunit ribosomal RNA
Source: RNAcentral